UACGUACUGUGCGAACGUUAUUCGGAAUCACUGGGCUUAAAGGGUGUGUAGGCGGCCGGACAAGUAGGGUGUGAAAGGCCUCGGCUCAACCGGGGCAUUGCGCUCUAGACUGUCUGGCUCGAGCAAGAUAGGGGUGUGUGGAACUUCCAGUGGAGCGGUGAAAUGUGUUGAUAUUGGAAGGAACGCCGGUGGCGAAAGCGGCACACUGGGUCUUGUCUGACGCUGAGACACGAAAGCCAGGGGAGCGAACGGG
RNAcentral lists this ribosomal RNA (253 nucleotides) under uncultured bacterium. RNAcentral's name for it is "partial 16S ribosomal RNA". It matches the Rfam family "Bacterial small subunit ribosomal RNA", at positions 524 to 776 of the family's 1533-position model. The record is from RNAcentral.